Molecule: transfer RNA, 72 nt
Filed under: Ovis aries (sheep)
Lineage: Eukaryota; Metazoa; Chordata; Mammalia; Artiodactyla; Bovidae
Rfam family: tRNA
About the family: Transfer RNA (tRNA) molecules are approximately 80 nucleotides in length. Their secondary structure includes four short double-helical elements and three loops (D, anti-codon, and T loops).
Source: Rfam by way of RNAcentral
UCCUAUGUAGCUCAGUAGGUAAAGAAUCUGCCUGGAAUGCAGGAGACUCAGGUUUGAUCCCUGGGUUGGGAU